RNAcentral lists this ribosomal RNA (495 nucleotides) under uncultured bacterium. RNAcentral's name for it is "partial 16S ribosomal RNA". It matches the Rfam family "Bacterial small subunit ribosomal RNA", at positions 28 to 507 of the family's 1533-position model. The record is from RNAcentral.
GACGAACGCUGGCGGCGUGCCUAAUACAUGCAAGUAGAACGCUGAAGGAGGAGCUUGCUUCUCUGGAUGAGUUGCGAACGGGUGAGUAACGCGUAGGUAACCUGCCUGGUAGCGGGGGAUAACUAUUGGAAACGAUAACUAAUACCGCAUAAGAGUAGAUGUUGCAUGACAUUUGCUUAAAAGGUGCAAUUGCAUCACUACCAGAUGGACCUGCGUUGUAUUAGCUAGUUGGUGAGGUAACGGCUCACCAAGGCAACGAUACAUAGCCGACCUGAGAGGGUGAUCGGCCACACUGGGACUGAGACACGGCCCAGACUCCUACGGGAGGCAGCAGUAGGGAAUCUUCGGCAAUGGACGGAAGUCUGACCGAGCAACGCCGCGUGAGUGAAGAAGGUUUUCGGAUCGUAAAGCUCUGUUGUAAGAGAAGAACGAGUGUGAGAGUGGAAAGUUCACACUGUGACGGUAUCUUACCAGAAAGGGACGGCUAACUACGUG